GACGAACGCUGGCGGCGUGCUUAACACAUGCAAGUGGAGCGACGAACCAGGGCUUGCCCUGGGGCAGAGCCGCGAACGGGUGAGUAACACGUGGGUAACGUGCCCCGAUGACUGGGACAACCCGGGGAAACCCGGGCUAAUACCGGAUGUGCCCCCUCACACCAGUGAGGUGUGUAAAGGAAGCUUCGGCCUCCGCAUCGGGAUCGGCCCGCGGCCCAUUAGCUUGUUGGUGAGGUAACGGCUCACCUAGGCUGCGAUGGGUAGCCGGACUGAGAGGACGGUCGGCCGCACGGGGAGUGGACCACGGCCAAGGGUCCUGCGGGAGGCAGCAGUGGGGAAUGUUGCGCAGUGGGGGGAAACGUGACGCAGCGGCGCCGCGUGGGGGGAGGCGGCCUUCGGGUUGUAAACCCCUUUCAGUUGGGGCGAAGGGCGGGCGGUUAAGAGCCGUUCCGGGUGACGGUACCGUCACAAGAAGCCCCGGCUAACUACGUG
RNAcentral lists this ribosomal RNA (492 nucleotides) under uncultured bacterium. Its description in RNAcentral is "partial 16S ribosomal RNA". It matches the Rfam family "Bacterial small subunit ribosomal RNA", at positions 28 to 507 of the family's 1533-position model. The record is from RNAcentral.